GUUAGGUGGAAAGCUCCCUUCACUCUACAGCCUUUACAGAGAUUCCAAGGACCUAAAAGAAGGUAAUGACUGCCACAGGGCUGUGCCACUUACUCACUCUGUAAUACCUUACUCUGAAAAUAGAUCAGUUGAUUUCAUGAUACCAAUACAUACUCAAUAUGUUCCUUAUUCUGUUUAUGGGGAAAAAAAACAAUUACAACUAAAGUAAAAAACUUAAGAGGAAAAAAUCUUUGUUGUGAGUGACCAUCAUGAUGACUGCUUUGAAGGUGUGACCAGUCCAUUUCUAUGCAAGAUGUGGACCAGUCACACAAUUUGGAUUUUGAUGGCCCUGUUAAGCUCCUUCAUAGACCAAGAACAAACUUACUUUCAGUAUGGAUGAUUUAUUUUAGACAAAAGGAAAUAAAGGGAGAGUGA
Molecule: long non-coding RNA, 414 nt
Organism: Mauremys reevesii (Reeves's turtle)
Lineage: Eukaryota; Metazoa; Chordata; Testudines; Geoemydidae
Exons: 3
Source: RefSeq, a predicted model, not a curated record